AGAUUGAUGAUGACUCCCUCAACCUGCAUUCCUUGGAAAAGCUGAACAAAAUGAGUGAGAACUCCCUACUGUCAUUCUCAUCAAAACUGAGGUCC
Non-coding RNA from Canis lupus familiaris (dog), 95 nucleotides. Lineage: Eukaryota; Metazoa; Chordata; Mammalia; Carnivora; Canidae. The record is from Rfam.